ACACAACCCGCACACACACAACACACACACGCAUACAUGGAGGGAGAGAGAGAUCUCCCUUUCUCUCUCUAAAUCUCUACCAAAAUUGAUGAAUUUGGUGGAGAAGCAAGCUUGGAGGUUGAUCUUCAUCUCCUUUAUCUUCUUCCUCUCCAUUAGAGCAAGUUUUGAAGGUAAGCUUCAAACCCUUUAAUGGCAUUUCUCUCUAGUUUGGUUUUUAAGCUCUAAGAAUGGAUUUAGAGGUAUUCUAGCAUGCUAAUUAGAGGUUUGAUUUUUGAAACCAAGGCUCUAAUGGUGGAUUUUUACCUAGUUGUAAUCUAGGGCUCAAAAAUGCUAAUUUGGUAAAUAUGAGGGUUUGAUCUCAUUUGACCCUCUGUAAACCUAAUUGCUAGGUAAACGAACGCGUGGGCAAAGACGGUUCGGCGAUUCGUUGAGCCGUUGCGAAGUUAUUAAAGAAACGGACGUUUAGGCUUCGUUUCCGCCUGGAAGGCCGAGGCGACAUCGUAAACCCAUGAAAACGGAUUUGAAGC
RNAcentral lists this long non-coding RNA (527 nucleotides) under Ananas comosus (pineapple). RNAcentral describes it as "long non-coding RNA (ACOM_LNC005712)". The record is from RNAcentral. Lineage: Eukaryota; Viridiplantae; Streptophyta; Magnoliopsida; Poales; Bromeliaceae.